AAAAUGACUCUCAGCAACGGAUAUCUUGGCUCUUGCAACGAUGAAGAACGCAGCGAAAUGCGAUACCUAGUGUGAAUUGCAGAAUUCCGCGAAUCAUUGAGUUUUUGAACGCAAGUUGCGCCC
Molecule: ribosomal RNA, 123 nt
Filed under: Frullanoides mexicana
Lineage: Eukaryota; Viridiplantae; Streptophyta; Jungermanniopsida; Porellales; Lejeuneaceae
Description: partial 5.8S ribosomal RNA
Rfam family: 5.8S ribosomal RNA
About the family: 5.8S ribosomal RNA (5.8S rRNA) is a component of the large subunit of the eukaryotic ribosome. It is transcribed by RNA polymerase I as part of the 45S precursor that also contains 18S and 28S rRNA. Functionally, it is thought that 5.8S rRNA may be involved in ribosome translocation.
Source: RNAcentral